GACAAAAUAACCAUUCUGUAUAUUGGAUAUUGACUUCUAUUGACAAAAUAGCCAUAACAAUAUUCUGAUUUAGAAUAAUACUCCUUUUCUGCUGUAUAUUUGCAAGCUUUUAUCAAAUAUUACGGGAGCUCAAUAGAAAUCAACAAUAUGAAUCUUUAUUUACCACAAACAUUAUUGAUGCCUAUGCUUGUUUUUCUUAAAAUCUAUUAGCUUUUUAUGACACAUUUAUACUUUUUCAGUUGUUUAUUACUGAGAAGUGGCUGUCCUGCCAGAAAACUGCUAUUCUCAGCUGUAUCCACAAUGACUAAUAGUGAGUGGAAGUGCAGUGGAUAAAAGCAAAUGUGUCUUCUCUGUAUUUUUUUUCAUCCAUUGGCUAAAAAACAGGAGGAUGCAGAAGAUGAAAGAAAAUACAAUCCCUGAAAGAUCAUGAAGAAGCUCUCAAUCAGACAAAAAACCCCAUAGGAGAUUUUUUUUUUUUUUCAUUAUUGUACUCUCUGCUUCUAUGAGUUUAAAUUUCUUUUACACUUCACAUAGAAAUAAACCUAGGUUUCUUAUUAGAAGAUAGACUGUGAUACUGAAAGCAAAUAAAAUGGUACAUGUUACCUGGCUGCAUUUCAAACAGGUGAUGGUGACACUGCACUGAAGCACCAAAGGUGAUUCUUGUUGGCCAGGCCAGAGCUCCUUGUGAAAAAGGUUAGGCCCACUGGUAUGUCUGAAGCGUCCUAGCUGGAUGGACAGAACCCCAUGAGCUGUUUUGAUUAGACUCUGAAUUUAAAACACCUUGGUGCCCAGUAAUGAGGACAUUUUCACAUUUAGCAUAACGUGAUUUGGUGUGUGGCUUGGAUUUGACAAAUCUUCACUGAGCUAAUGGCUGAUUGGAUUUACUUGGCCUGAAUGGAAAAUAAAAAUCACCUCUGAGCA
Homo sapiens (human) is the source of this 921-nucleotide long non-coding RNA. The record is from Ensembl. Lineage: Eukaryota; Metazoa; Chordata; Mammalia; Primates; Hominidae.